GAUGAACGCUGGCGGCGUGCCUAAUACAUGCAAGUCGAGCGAACGGACGAGAAGCUUGCUUCUCUGAUGUUAGCGGCGGACGGGUGAGUAACACGUGGAUAACCUACCUAUAAGACUGGGAUAACUUCGGGAAACCGGAGCUAAUACCGGAUAAUAUUUUGAACCGCAUGGUUCAAAAGUGAAAGACGGUCUUGCUGUCACUUAUAGAUGGAUCCGCGCUGCAUUAGCUAGUUGGUAAGGUAACGGCUUACCAAGGCAACGAUGCAUAGCCGACCUGAGAGGGUGAUCGGCCACACUGGAACUGAGACACGGUCCAGACUCCUACGGGAGGGAGCAGUAGGGAAUCUUCCGCAAUGGGGGAAAGCCUGACGGAGCAACGCCGCGUGAGUGAUGAAGGUCUUCGGAUCGUAAAACUCUGUUAUUAGGGAAGAACAUAUGUGGAAGUAACUGUGCACAUCUUGACGGUACCUAAUCAGAAAGCCACGGCUAACUACGUG
RNAcentral lists this ribosomal RNA (497 nucleotides) under uncultured bacterium. RNAcentral's name for it is "partial 16S ribosomal RNA". It matches the Rfam family "Bacterial small subunit ribosomal RNA", at positions 28 to 507 of the family's 1533-position model. The record is from RNAcentral.